AGCUAGUUGGUAGGGUAAGAGCCUACCAAGGCAGAGAUCGGUAGCCGGCCUGAGAGGGCACACGGCCACACUGGCACUGAAACACGGGCCAGACUCCUACGGGAGGCAGCAGUGGGGAAUCUUGCACAAUGGGGGCAACCCUGAUGCAGCGACGCCGCGUGAGCGAUGAAGCCCUUCGGGGUGUAAAGCUCUUUCGGCAGGGAAGAUGAUGACGGUACCUGCAGAAGCAGCUGCGGCUAACUACGUGCCAGCAGCCGCGGUAAUACGUAGGCAGCGAGCGUUGUUCGGAGUUACUGGGCGUAAAGGGUGUGUAGGCGGUUCUUUAAGUUUGGUGUGAAAUCUCCCGGCUUAACCGGGAGGGUGCGCCGAAUACUGAGGGACUAGAGUGCGGGAGAGGAAAGUGGAAUUCCUGGUGUAGCGGUGAAAUGCGUAGAUAUCAGGAGGAACACCGGUGGUGUAGACGGCUUUCUGGACCGUAACUGACGCUGAGACACGAAAGCGUGGGUAGCAAACAGGAUUAGAUACCCUGGUAGUCCACGCCCUAAACGAUGCAUAUUUGGUGUGGGUCAUUCAUUUGAUCCGUGCCGGAGCUAACGCGUUAAAUAUGCCGCCUGGGGA
This 618-nucleotide ribosomal RNA is filed under the name uncultured Acidobacteriota bacterium. RNAcentral's name for it is "SSU rRNA". It matches the Rfam family "Bacterial small subunit ribosomal RNA", at positions 243 to 879 of the family's 1533-position model. The record is from RNAcentral. Lineage: Bacteria; Pseudomonadati; Acidobacteriota.